Molecule: ribosomal RNA, 403 nt
Filed under: uncultured bacterium
Lineage: Bacteria
Description: bacterial SSU rRNA
Rfam family: Bacterial small subunit ribosomal RNA
Source: RNAcentral
GGGGAAUAUUGGACAAUGGGGGCAACCCUGAUCCAGCAAUGCCGCGUGUGUGAUGAAGGCCCUAGGGUUGUAAAGCACUUUCACUGGUGAAGAUGAUGACGGUAACCAGAGAAGAAGCCCCGGCUAACUUCGUGCCAGCAGCCGCGGUAAUACGAAGGGGGCGAGCGUUGUUCGGAAUUACUGGGCGUAAAGGGCGCGUAGGCGGCUCUUUAAGUUAGGCGUGAAAGCCCCGGGCUCAACCUGGGAACUGCGCUUAAGACUGGAGAGCUAGAAAACGGAAGAGGGUAGUGGAAUUCCCAGUGUAGAGGUGAAAUUCGUAGAUAUUGGGAAGAACACCAGUGGCGAAAGCGGCUACCUGGUCCGGAUUUGACGCUGAGGCGCGAAAGCGUGGGGAGCAAACAGG